AAGACCAUUUUUCCAAACCCCUUCCUACAUUUUCUGGGCCCUCUGGGGCUGGCUGCACACUUGGAUGUCUCUGCUCCUACCAACUCAGGCUACCUACCUACAGUGCUGUCUAGUCUGUGGGGUCAUGGCCCUCAGGGACUCAAGCAAGUUUCCUUUUGGAGAGUAUUCCACUGUGGAGGAAGUGCCAGAAACUGGAAUGAUACAAUGGAGUACUUCAACAGAACAGACUAUAAUUCAUCCAACAUGAGCAGGAGCCUGAGAAGCCACCAAAGUGUGAAGCGUACUCUGCAGGCACUUAUCCUGGGUCACUGUGUGAAGACGGAGACAAUAGCCUGGUGUGGAGUAGUUUCAUGCUAUUUACUCUGUGGCCUGAGAACACAAAGGGAAUUACACUGAAGUACAGUCAGCUGAGCAGCUGCAGGUCAUCUCAUUUGUCAUCUAAACCAGGGCUUACAGGCCACCAUCGCAUUUUAAACCUGAAGUCAGAAUUCAUAUAUUUCUUUGUUAAAUCUUAGAGGAAGAGGCAGGAAGCUCAUUUUGACUGGUGGCCUUGAGGAGAUUUCUUUGAUGGCAAUAUUUUAAUGGGUUAAAGGUUCAACAUGGUUUAUUUAUGUCAUUAGAAUGACGCCAUUCUUGUUUUCAUUCGUUUUUAUUCAAAUUCUUUUAGGGAAGGCAAUUCCUGAUGAGGCUAAAUAAAUAAAUAAAUCCCAAAUUUAACCA
This 720-nucleotide long non-coding RNA is filed under the name Monodelphis domestica (gray short-tailed opossum). RNAcentral's name for it is "lncRNA (ENSMODG00000042335.1)". Lineage: Eukaryota; Metazoa; Chordata; Mammalia; Didelphimorphia; Didelphidae. The record is from RNAcentral.